GAGAAGUGUCUUUCGGGAUGCAAGUAAAGUGGCGCACGNGGUGAGUAACACGUAAGCAAUCUACCCUUAGGCCUGGGAUAACCCCGAGAAAUCGGGGCUAAUACCGGAUGAUGCAGCGGCACCGCAUGGUGAUGUUGUUAAAGUCUAUAUGGCGUCUAUGGAUGAGCUUGCGUCUGAUUAGCUUGUUGGUGAGGUAAUGGCUUACCAAGGCUACGAUCAGUAGCUGGUCUGAGAGGAUGAUCAGCCACACUGGAACUGAGACACGGUCCAGACUCCUACGGGAGGCAGCAGUGAGGAAUAUUGGGCAAUGGGCGAAAGCCUGACCCAGCAACGCCGCGUGGAGGAUGAAUGUCGUAAGAUUGUAAACUCCUGUUAGAGGGGAAGAAUAAUUCCGAUCAAAUCGGAACUUGACUGUACCCUCAGAGAAAGCUCCGGCUAACUACGUGCCAGCAGCCGCGGUAAUACGUAGGGAGCAAGCGUUGUCCGGAUUUACUGGGUGUAAAGGGCGCGCAGGCGGGUCCGUAAGUCAGAGGUGAAAUCCUACAGCUCAACUGUAGAACUGCCUUUGAUACUGCUGAUCUUGAGUAUGGAAGAGAGAGACGGAAUUCCAGGUGUAGUGGUGAAAUA
Molecule: ribosomal RNA, 627 nt
Filed under: uncultured bacterium
Lineage: Bacteria
Description: bacterial SSU rRNA
Rfam family: Bacterial small subunit ribosomal RNA
Source: RNAcentral